This 68-nucleotide transfer RNA is filed under the name Taenioides cirratus (bearded worm goby). Its description in RNAcentral is "tRNA-Phe". It matches the Rfam family "tRNA". Rfam says of the family: Transfer RNA (tRNA) molecules are approximately 80 nucleotides in length. Their secondary structure includes four short double-helical elements and three loops (D, anti-codon, and T loops). Further hydrogen bonds mediate the characteristic L-shaped molecular structure. tRNAs have two regions of fundamental functional importance: the anti-codon, which is responsible for specific mRNA codon recognition, and the 3' end, to which the tRNAs corresponding amino acid is attached (by aminoacyl-tRNA synthetases). tRNAs cope with the degeneracy of the genetic code in two manners: having more than one tRNA (with a specific anti-codon) for a particular amino acid; and 'wobble' base-pairing, i.e. permitting non-standard base-pairing at the 3rd anti-codon position. The record is from RNAcentral. RNAcentral also lists the same sequence under 1 other name. Lineage: Eukaryota; Metazoa; Chordata; Actinopteri; Gobiiformes; Gobiidae.
GCUCACAUAGCUUAACUAAAGCAUGACACUGAAGAUGUCAAGAUGGGCCCUAGAAAGCCCUGUAAGCA